Molecule: ribosomal RNA, 469 nt
Filed under: uncultured bacterium
Lineage: Bacteria
Description: partial 16S ribosomal RNA
Rfam family: Bacterial small subunit ribosomal RNA
Source: RNAcentral
GACGAACGCUGGCGGCGUGCUUAACACAUGCAAGUCGAACGGAAAGGCCCUGCUUGCAGGGUGCUCGAGUGGCGAACGGGUGAGUAACACGUGGGUGAUCUGCCCCUUACUUUGGGAUAAGCCUGGGAAACUGGGUCUAAUACUGGAUAGGACCAUGCUGUAGGUGGUGUGGUGGAAAGAUUAGUUUCGGUAAGGGAUGGGCUCGCGGCCUAUCAGCUUGUUGGUGGGGUAAUGGCCUACCAAGGCGUCGACGGGUAGCCGGCCUGAGAGGGUGGACGGCCACAUUGGGACUGAGAUACGGCCCAGACUCCUACGGGAGGCAGCAGUGGGGAAUAUUGCACAAUGGGCGCAAGCCUGAUGCAGCGACGCCGCGUGGGGGAUGACGGCCUUCGGGUUGUAAACUCCUUUCAGCCAUGACGAAGCCCUUGUGGUGACGGUAGUGGUAGAAGAAGCACCGGCUAACUACGUG